Molecule: ribosomal RNA, 480 nt
Filed under: uncultured Glomeromycotina
Lineage: Eukaryota; Fungi; Glomeromycota
Description: SSU rRNA
Rfam family: Eukaryotic small subunit ribosomal RNA
Source: RNAcentral
AGCGUAUAUUAAAGUUGUUGCAGUUAAAAAGCUCGUAGUUGAAUUUCGGGGUUAGUAGGUUGGUCAUGCCUCUGGUAUGUACUAAUCUCACUGAUUCCUCCCUCUUGACGAACUGUAAUGUCAUUAAUUUGGUGUUGCAGGAAAUCAGGACUGUUACUUUGAAAAAAUUAGAGUGUUUAAAGCAGGCUUAGGCUUGAAUACAUUAGCAUGGAAUAAUGAAAUAGGACGUUUGAACCUAUUUUGUUGGUUUCUAGGAUCGACGUAAUGAUUAAUAGGGAUAGUUGGGGGCAUUAGUAUUCAAUUGUCAGAGGUGAAAUUCUUGGAUUUAUUGAAGACUAACUACUGCGAAAGCAUUUGCCAAGGAUGUUUUCAUUAAUCAAGAACGAAAGUUAGGGGAUCGAAGACGAUCAGAUACCGUCGUAGUCUUAACCAUAAACUAUGCCGACUAGGGAUCGGAUGAUGUUAAUUUUUUAAUGACUC